CUGUUUAUUCUACAAGUACUUUAUUUAGCAUGUGACAGCGUCUGUGGUACAGGCACCAUUUGGGUGGUAAAACAGCAGUAGGCUAAAAACUAAAGAGGUUCAACACGUACCGGCAUUGGAGCCAGUACCUAGACAAGAGGUUCAACACGUACCGGCAUUAGGAGCCAGUAC
Oncorhynchus keta (chum salmon) is the source of this 171-nucleotide long non-coding RNA. RefSeq lists it as uncharacterized. NCBI's taxonomy places the organism in Eukaryota, Metazoa, Chordata, Actinopteri, Salmoniformes, Salmonidae. The transcript has 2 exons. The record is from RefSeq and is a predicted model, not a curated record.